Molecule: ribosomal RNA, 545 nt
Filed under: Graphiurus murinus (woodland dormouse)
Lineage: Eukaryota; Metazoa; Chordata; Mammalia; Rodentia; Gliridae
Description: partial 16S ribosomal RNA
Rfam family: Bacterial large subunit ribosomal RNA
Source: RNAcentral
CACUCUAGCAUUAAUAUUAUUAGAGGCAAUGCCUGCCCAGUGACUCAUGUUUAACGGCCGCGGUAUCCUGACCGUGCAAAGGUAGCAUAAUCACUUGUUCUUUAAUUAAGGACUUGUAUGAAUGGCUUGACGAGGGUUUAACUGUCUUUUUUCCCUAAUCAGUGAAAUUGACCUUCCAGUGAAGAGGCUGGAAUAAAUUAAUAAGACGAGAAGACCCUAUGGAGCUUUAAUUAAUCGACCUACUUACAAUUAACUCUUACCUAUAGGAAUAACUCUAAAAUUGAUAGAUCGAUAAUUUCGGUUGGGGUGACCUCGGAGUAUAAAUAACCCUCCGAAAGACAUAAAAUAGACCCACAGGUCGAAAAAUCCAUUAUUCCAAUUGACCCAAAAAAUUGAUCAACGAAAUAAGUUACCCUAGGGAUAACAGCGCAAUCCUAUUCAAGAGUCCAUAUCGACAAUAGGGUUUACGACCUCGAUGUUGGAUCAGGACAUCCUAAUGGUGUAACCGCUAUUAACGGUUCGUUUGUUCAACGAUUAACAGUCCU